AUUGAACGCUGGCGGCAGGCUUAACACAUGCAAGUCGAGCGGGGUGAUGGUGCUUGCACUAUCACUUAGCGGCGGACGGGUGAGUAAUGCUUAGGAAUCUGCCUAUUAGUGGGGGACAACAUCUCGAAAGGGAUGCUAAUACCGCAUACGUCCUACGGGAGAAAGCAGGGGAUCACUUGUGACCUUGCGCUAAUAGAUGAGCCUAAGUCGGAUUAGCUAGUUGGUGGGGUAAAGGCCUACCAAGGCGACGAUCUGUAGGGGGUCUGAGAGGAGGAUCCGCCACAGUGGGACGGAGACACGGCCCAGACUCCUACGGGAGGCAGCAGUGGGGAAUAUUGGACAAUGGGGGGAGCCCUGAUCCAGCCAUGCCGCGUGUGUGAAGAAGGCCUUAUGGUUGUAAAGCACUUUAAGCGAGGAGGAGGCUCUUUUGGUUAAUACCCAAGAUGAGUGGACGUUACUCGCAGAAUAAGCACCGGCUAACUCUGUGCCAGCAGCCGCCGUAA
RNAcentral lists this ribosomal RNA (503 nucleotides) under uncultured bacterium. RNAcentral's name for it is "partial 16S ribosomal RNA". It matches the Rfam family "Bacterial small subunit ribosomal RNA", at positions 30 to 523 of the family's 1533-position model. The record is from RNAcentral.